This 541-nucleotide ribosomal RNA is filed under the name uncultured bacterium. RNAcentral's name for it is "bacterial SSU rRNA". It matches the Rfam family "Bacterial small subunit ribosomal RNA", at positions 122 to 680 of the family's 1533-position model. The record is from RNAcentral.
UAACCUGCCCUGGAGUGGGGGAUAACCAUUGGAUACGGUGGCUAAUACCGCAUACAGCUAUUGAUUUGGGAGAAUCGAUAGGGAAAGCUCCGGCGCUCUGGGAGGGGUCUGCGUCCGAUUAGCUAGUUGGUGAGGUAAAGGCUCACCAAGGCGACGAUCGGUAGCUGGUCUGAGAGGACGAUCAGCCACACGGGAAUUGAGACACGGUCCCGACUCCUACGGGGGGCAGCAGUGAGGAAUAUUGGGCAAUGGGCGAGAGCCUGACCCAGCAACGCCGCGUGGAGGAAGACGGCCUUCGGGUUGUAAACUCCUUUUGACGGGGAAGAGAGAGGACGGUACCCGUCGAAUAAGUCACGGCUAACUACGUGCCAGCAGCCGCGGUAAUACGUAGGUGACAAGCGUUAUCCGGAAUUACUGGGCGUAAAGCGCACGCAGGCGGCAGAUUAAGUCUGACGUGAAAUCUCCUGGCUUAACUGGGAGGGGUCGGUGGAAACUGGUCAGCUUGAGGUGGUGAGAGGGGUGUAAAAUUCCCGGUGUAGUG